UCGUUUUGUCUCUUUUUUACUAGUACAAAAUUUCAUUUGGUAAAAGAGAUAAAUAUAUAUUUGUUAUUUCUAGUUAUGGCAACAUUUUGUGAUGACGUCACAACAGCUGUAGGUACGUGCCAUUUUUCGCCAUUUUAUGCGCUGUGUUUUGUGGUACUUCUGCUGUCAAGUAGCUGUUUAUGAGAUCGUAUUUUGUGUUUUGCGGAUAAAUUACGAGGAUUUGAUUUGCUAAAUCGAAGUUGAAGUUGAAAAAAGUGUUAUUCAACAUGUCCGUGUAUUGUAUUGUACAGUGUGGUGCCAGAAAGGACAGAAAUCAACCGUAUUUGUCACUUCAUAGGCCAUCUUUCAAUCCAAAAUUGUCGACUGGAUUUACUGAAACAGGUGAUAUUGGAAAACUAAUCCACAGCUGCAACGUCGUCUGUGCUGCCAUUGCCCGUACGUCUGUCUCAUAAGUCAGUACAUGAAAAGUCUGUUCAAGAAGACGCGAUGAAAAAAUUAAAAGAUAGCCAAUUUGAAGAAUAUUAUGGAAGAUCUGCAGAAUAAAAAUCAAAUAAUAAAGGGCAAAGUGUAUUGAUGGAAGAAUUGGCAGGACCGCAAGACUUUUUGAAAAGGCAGGUAAACAAAUUUCAAGGUUUACCUUUGCCAUAGAAGUAUUCCCAAGAAAUAAGAAAGUUUGCUUUAACUUUACAUUUUCUUUCU
This 699-nucleotide long non-coding RNA is filed under the name Pectinophora gossypiella (pink bollworm). RNAcentral describes it as "uncharacterized LOC126367780". Lineage: Eukaryota; Metazoa; Arthropoda; Insecta; Lepidoptera; Gelechiidae. The record is from RNAcentral.